This is a long non-coding RNA of Zalophus californianus (California sea lion), 616 nucleotides long. RefSeq lists it as uncharacterized. The record is from RefSeq and is a predicted model, not a curated record. The transcript is spliced from 4 exons. Lineage: Eukaryota; Metazoa; Chordata; Mammalia; Carnivora; Otariidae.
CUGGAAUUCUACACUGCAAAAUCUAAGUUAAGGACAUUGUGAUGGUUAAUUCUACGUGUUAACUUGAGUGGGCCACAGGGUGCUCAGAUAUUCAUUUAACAUUAUUCUGGUUGGAAGCAGAAUCAACAUCCUCUUGGUUCCAUUUCUCUGAACCCUGACUAACAUAGUGCUGGUUUAGUGUGCUGUGGACAAAGGGAUGGAGCUCUGAAAUAAAGGCAUAAUUUGUCUCAAUAAAGAGGCAAGCCAGGAUAAAACUCUCUGCUGUUCUGUUUCACAGCCUCCAGCAGGAGCAGGGCAGAGGUAUUCCUACUGUCCAAUUCACAGCAAUGAUCAGGAGAACCUCUGGGGUCAACUGCCAACUUCUAUUCAGCAACUUCAAAGAAAGAAACUAUAUCAUCAUUUUCUAUAACAUCAGGAAAAGAAAAUUUAACAUGAACUAAUUUCCUAAUUGGUAGUGUUGAAUUACCAUCAAGUAUAGCACAGCACCAGGGAGCUAAAACAGCAUAUACACACCCUCAGGACUGACCAGCAUCUGGAACACAUGUGCAAGACGCAUUUUUGCAGAGUGACCAGAAGAGAGCGCUUCAGCACCACAUACAUGCAUAAGCCCUACAAA